GACGAACGCUGGCGGCGUGCUUAACACAUGCAAGUCGAACGGGCCCGCCCCUGUUUUUGGGGGUGGGUUGAGUGGCGAACGGGUGAGUAUCACGUGGGUAACCUGCCCCCUGCUCCUGGAUAACUGCUUGAAAGGGCGGCUAAUACGGGGUGUGCCGGCUGGUCCGCAUGGGCCUGGUCGGGAUAGUUUCAUCUUCGGGUGUUUCGGUGGGGGAUGGGCUCGCGGCCUAUCAGCUUGUUGGUGGGGUGAUGGCCCACCAAGGCGGUGACGGGUAGCCGGCCUGAGAGGGUGGGCGGCCAGACGGGGACUGAGACACGGCCCAGACUCCUGCGGGAGGCAGCAGUGGGGGGUAUUGCACAAUGGGCGGAAGCCUGAUGCAGCGACGUCGCGUGAGGGAUGGAGGCCUUCGGGUUGGGAACCUCUUUCUCCGGUGGUGAAGGCCCUGUCCGUUGCGGCGGGGUUGACGGUAGCCGGGUAUGAAGCGCCGGCUAACUACGUG
Molecule: ribosomal RNA, 499 nt
Filed under: uncultured bacterium
Lineage: Bacteria
Description: partial 16S ribosomal RNA
Rfam family: Bacterial small subunit ribosomal RNA
Source: RNAcentral